RNAcentral lists this ribosomal RNA (556 nucleotides) under uncultured bacterium. RNAcentral describes it as "partial 16S ribosomal RNA". It matches the Rfam family "Bacterial small subunit ribosomal RNA", at positions 355 to 932 of the family's 1533-position model. The record is from RNAcentral.
UGGGGAAUAUUGCACAAUGGGCGAAAGCCUGAUGCAGCAACGCCGCGUGAGUGAUGAAGGCCUUCGGGUUGUAAAGCUCUGUCUUUUGGGACGAUAAUGACGGUACCAAAGGAGGAAGCCACGGCUAACUACGUGCCAGCAGCCGCGGUAAUACGUAGGUGGCAAGCGUUGUCCGGAUUUACUGGGCGUAAAGGAUGCGUAGGCGGAUUUUUAAGUGAGAUGUGAAAACCCUAAGCUUAACUUGGGGACUGCAUUUCAUACUGGAAAUCUAGAGUGCGGGAGAGGAGAAUGGAAUUCCUAGUGUAGCGGUGAAAUGCGUAGAGAUUAGGAAGAACACCAGUGGCGAAGGCGAUUCUCUGGACCGUAACUGACGCUGAGGCAUGAAAGCGUGGGUAGCAAACAGGAUUAGAUACCCUGGUAGUCCACGCCGUAAACGAUGAGUACUAGGUGUAGGAGGUAUCGACUCCUUCUGUGCCGCAGUUAACACAAUAAGUACUCCGCCUGGGAAGUACGAUCGCAAGAUUAAAACUCGAAUGAAUUGACGGGGUCAUAGCUG